UACCCACAAACAGCCACAUAAUGCACGACCCAUCUACCCACAAACAGCCACAUAAUGCACGACCCAUCUACCCACAAACAGCCACAUAAUGCACGACCCAUCUACCCACAAACAGCCACAUAAUGCACGACCCAUCUACCCACAAACAGCCACAUAAUGCACGACCCAUCUACCCACAAACAGCCACAUAAUGCACGACCCAUCUACCCACAAACAGCCACAUAAUGCACGACCCAUCUACCCACAAACAGCCACAUAAUGCACGACCCAUCUACCCACAAACAGCUAACAGCUAAUUCAAAAUGGAGAAGACUCUUUUUUUUUUUCUUCUUUAAAAAAAAAUGAUUUUUUUUUUGUUGACUUUGUGGUGCUUUGCCAUUGCAUGUACAUUGACUUGGAUAUGGAGGGUAUAUAAUUAUUAUUGGCUGUCCAGACCCAGUCACUCAAUCAACCAAUCACUUGUCCAGAGACAGCUUUCAGCUAUCUCUUGAUUUAGCACAAUGAAUCAGAAGCUACAUCCUUGGCUGAGAAUGAACCAACCAAUCAGAGCUGCAAUAGAAUAUUCUCUAAAAGUCAACCAUCCCCAGGGAUUCAUUUAAGACUGUUUCCAAAAGUGCAUCCUAUUUUCCAUCUUAACGUCCCAGGGGUCCAUGGGGCUCUGGUGAAAAGUAGUGCAGUAAAUAAGGAAUAGACUGUCAUUUGGGACAGAACCUUCUUUCCUUCCUCCCUUCUCCCGCUUCAGUGCAAUUAACAGAGCUGAAUGAAUCCUACACAUGCCUAAUGAUUUCUGCAAAGUGCUGAAAUGCUCCAUAUGGCAAUAGUAGAAGGGACAGGAGGUUUUUCCUGACCAGGAGAAAAUCAAAUGUUAUUUGUUUACAGUGAAAUGCUUACAAGCUUUAAGUUUUAAGAAGAAAGUGUUGAAAGUAUUUAUUUACUAAAAUGUCUGUGUCCCAAAUGGCAUACAUAUUCCCUAUAGCAGGGAUAUGUUCUCUUCUACUUGAUAAUUAAUUUCACACAUCUGGUGUCUCAGGUCUAAAUCAGUCCCUGGUUAGAGGGGAAUCACACACCUUGUGUCCCAGGUCUAAAUCAGUCCCUGGUUAGAGGGGAAUCACCCAUCUGGUGUCCCAGGUCUAAAUCAGUCCCUGGUUAGAGGGGAAUCACCCAUCUGGUGUCCCAGGUCUAAAUCAGUCCCUGGUUAGAGGGGAAUCACCCAUCUGGUGUCCCAGGUCUAAAUCAGUCCCUGGUUAGAGGGGAAUCACCCAUCUGGUGUCCCAGGUCUAAAUCAGUCCCUGGUUAGAGGGGAAUCACCCAUCUGGUGUCCCAGGUCUAAAUCAGUCCCUGAUUAGAAGGGAAUCACACACCUUGUGUCCCAGGUCUAAAUCAGUCCCUGGUUAGAGGGGAAUCACCCAUCUGGUGUCCCAGGUCUAAAUCAGUCCCUGGUUAGAGGGGAAUCACCCAUCUGGUGUCCCAGGUCUAAAUCAGUCCCUGGUUAGAGGGGAAUCACCCAUCUGGUGUCCCAGGUCUAAAUCAGUCCCUGGUUAGAGGGGAAUCACCCAUCUGGUGUCCCAGGUCUAAAUCAGUCCCUGGUUAGAGGGGAAUCACCCAUCUGGUGUCCCAGGUCUAAAUCAGUCCCUGGUUAGAGGGGAAUCACACACCUUGUGUCCCAGGUCUAAAUCAGUCCCUGAUGAGAGGGGAAUCACACACCUUGUGUCCCAGGUCUAAAUCAGUCCCUGGUUAGAGGGGAAUCACCCAUCUGGUGUCCCAGGUCUAAAUCAGUCCCUGGUUAGAGGGGAAUCACCCAUCUGGUGUCCCAGGUCUAAAUCAGUCCCUGGUUAGAGGGGAAUCACCCAUCUGGUGUCCCAGGUCUAAAUCAGUCCCUGGUUAGAGGGGAAUCACCCAUCUGGUGUCCCAGGUCUAAAUCAGUCCCUGGUUAGAGGGGAAUCACCCAUCUGGUGUCCCAGGUCUAAAUCAGUCCCUGGUUAGAGGGGAAUCACCCAUCUGGUGUCCCAGGUCUAAAUCAGUCCCUGAUUAGAGGGGAAUCACCCAUCUGGUGUCCCAGGUCUAAAUCAGUCCCUGGUUAGAGGGGAAUCACCCAUCUGGUGUCCCAGGUCUAAAUCAGUCCCUGGUUAGAGGGGAAUCACCCAUCUGGUGUCCCAGGUCUAAAUCAGUCCCUGGUUAGAGGGGAAUCACCCAUCUGGUGUCCCAGGUCUAAAUCAGUCCCUGGUUAGAGGGGAAUCACCCAUCUGGUGUCCCAGGUCUAAAUCAGUCCCUGGUUAGAGGGGAAUCACCCAUCUGGUGUCCCAGGUCUAAAUCAGUCCCUGGUUAGAGGGGAAUCACCCAUCUGGUGUCCCAGGUCUAAAUCAGUCCCUGGUUAGAGGGGAAUCACCCAUCUGGUGUCCCAGGUCUAAAUCAGUCCCUGGUUAGAGGGGAAUCACCCAUCUGGUGUCCCAGGUCUAAAUCAGUCCCUGGUUAGAGGGGAAUCACCCAUCUGGUGUCCCAGGUCUAAAUCAGUCCCUGAUUAGAGGGGAAUCACCCAUCUGGUGUCCCAGGUCUAAAUCAGUCCCUGGUUAGAGGGGAAUCACCCAUCUGGUGUCCCAGGUCUAAAUCAGUCCCUGGUUAGAGGGGAAUCACCCAUCUGGUGUCCCAGGUCUAAAUCAGUCCCUGGUUAGAGGGGAAUCACCCAUCUGGUGUCCCAGGUCUAAAUCAGUCCCUGGUUAGAGGGGAAUCACCCAUCUGCUGUCCCAGGUCUAAAUCAGUCCCUGGUUAGAGGGGAAUCACCCAUCUGGUGUCCCAGGUCUAAAUCAGUCCCUGGUUAGAGGGGAAUCACCCAUCUGGUGUCCCAGGUCUAAAUCAGUCCCUGGUUAGAGGGGAAUCACCCAUCUGGUGUCCCAGGUCUAAAUCAGUCCCUGGUUAGAGGGGAAUCACCCAUCUGGUGUCCCAGGUCUAAAUCAGUCCCUGGUUAGAAGGGAACAAUUUAAAAAGUGCAGUGAAACUGGCUUCGAGGUCCAGCGUUGAGUUUGAGGGCCCUAUAUAGUGCACUACUUUUGACCAGAAACCUAUUGGCCACGGUCAAAAGUAGUGCACUAUAUAUGGAAUAGGGUGCCAUUUGGGAUCAAAAGUAUUGCACUAUAUAGGGAAUAUGGUGCCAUUUGGGAGGGCCUACUGGGUUGUAGUUAUUUGCUAUAGUGUUUCCCUGUCAGGCCCUAUGGUCAGGAAUAACUCCUACCCCUAGGCAAAGAUUUUUUUAAAUUAUUAAAGAUUUAAAUGGGACUUUUCUUGUCGUCCGUCCUAGGUCCUGUAAAUGUGUAUAUCUCCGAAAAUCCCAAGCCACGCCUUUUAGUGCUCAGCUUUGUCAAAAUAAUGCUCUCUGUUCUACAAUUGUUUACAAUGCAACACGUUUGUAAAGUAUUUUUCACAUGUCAUAACUGACCAGUCUUGGUGUAUACUCUUUAAUCCUCUCAUUCAUCUUUCGCAAUGUAUUUAUUUCUAAAAACAAAUAUUUAACUUUUUUUUUUUUUUUUUUUUUUUUAAGCUUUCGAUAACCCAUCUUGUACUGUGACUUGACUUUACCGACGGUAUGAAUGAGUGACACGAAACUGAUACGCUUCAACGGAACAUGACACAAACAGGAAUACAUAAACAACAACAAAAAUGCAUUAACAAAUAUUGGAAAUGUGUACAAGUGAAAGUUGUGGAAAAUGUAAGAGAUAUAUAUAUAUAUAUUAAAACAAAUGUUGCAACCCUU
Oncorhynchus keta (chum salmon) is the source of this 3745-nucleotide long non-coding RNA. RefSeq lists it as uncharacterized. The transcript is spliced from 5 exons. The record is from RefSeq and is a predicted model, not a curated record. NCBI's taxonomy places the organism in Eukaryota, Metazoa, Chordata, Actinopteri, Salmoniformes, Salmonidae.